CCCAUCAUCAAUUCCACGACAAGCCAAGAAAGAGGAGAUCAAUAUAAUCUCUAUCUCGGCUGCGCACUGCAGGGCACUCUCUACCUGAAGUCUCUCCACGGGCCUGAUGUCUACGUUCCUCUUGCCUUGGUGUCUCCAGCUGUGGUUCCCCCGUGCAGUCUCAGAUUGCCUGGGUCUCCAAGUCCCCCUGAAUUCCACACGUGGUCUUAAAAACAUCUGGGUCCCUGGGAUGAGCCAGACGGAGACUUGAGGUCAAAGACUGAUCAUCAUCACCUUUGUGUCACCAAUUGCCUGUACAAUGCCUGGUGUGUAACAGAGAAGCCAAACAUGUUUGGACAAGGCUUGGUCUUGAGCAGAGACUGUCUCACCGGCUCCUCCUUCUCUGAGCAGAGGUCCCCCGGAAGCCCCCUUGGUACUACCUGCAAAGGUAAGUCUGAAAACACCUGAUGGUGGUUACUUAGCAAGGUUCACCUCUUUAAGGAAAUCAAGUUUCUUUGAUAGCUGACUCCACAGUGUGAUAAAGUGAUGUUUUGCCCCUGCAUUCCCAAAAAAACCAAAUCUGGUAACAUUGACAAGGUACAUAACUGAGUAUCUUAGGCAGUAUCAGGGCAAAAAUAGAGGCUUUGUAAAUGCAGAUCACAGGAAGUUAGAGGUUUCCUGACUUCCUCCUUCUAAGGCAAGGAAGCAGCUACAAUGACAUUUAUACAUUCAGUAUUAUAAAAUAAAACUUAUAACAAUAUUCAUGACAUUAGGUACUAUCAGCUACAUGCAGUUUAAAGGACUAAAUUCCCUCUAGCUAAGUACUAGUAUUAUACAUUUUUACAUCUGUUUAUACUUCCCUCCUUAUGAGCAUUUUUAAAAAAAGCACAAAGCAAGUUUCUUGGAUCCAUGAAUUUCUUCACAUAGGUCCUUUUCUCAACAUUGGGAUGGAGGAGGUUAGGGAGCUAAGCUACUUUUGAAAUUAAACAAAAGGUCAAAGAUACCUUGUUAGCCUACCCUCAUUUCUAUGAUUUCUGAGUAAGCUAUGAAUGAACCCUGGUUGCAGCAAUGUUAAAAGGACUGUAAAGGCAAGACUUUAUCUAGGACAAUGUACUAAAAUACUAAUUUAAUAGAGCUUUUGAACUAGGCCAAAUGUGCCUUUCAGAUAUUUCCAUAAACUUUCCAUUGGCUUCACCACUGGGAUUUGCAAGUGAGAAUUUAAGGGCAAGAUUUGUCCUAAAUGGGUUUUUUUUUUUUUUUCCUCUUGUAUUGACCUUUCACAACCUCCAGUUAAACGCUGUCCAAAUUAAGUAUUUCUGGACUUACAUAUACCUCUUAGAAUAUUGCUUUAAAGUUGCAUUUUUAUCUGCUUCCUAGAAAGUGGCUCUCAUUUGUAUGUAGGCUGCCUCAUGUAAAAUUUUAUUAUUUCAAACUAAAAAUGAGUAUUUCCUUGUCUUUAUUUAUCAUGGCAAAUUCUGCCAUAGUGGAAAAAGUGAAUUUCAAUUCAUCAUGGUGAUUCAGCUGUGUGUUUUCAUUUUACAUUUUGGUAGAAUUUGUUGCAGUGCAGCCCGUGUUGGCAAAUACAAGAACAUUUUUUUUAAGGCAUUCUGUACUCAGAGUGUUCUCAAAGCAAUUCCCAUAUGAGUUAUAUUUCAACAAGCAAACAAACUGUCACUUUCAUCAAACAGCUUGACUUUGUAUUCCUACAGAAAAAAGUAAGCCUGGCUAGUAUUUACAUUGUAAAUACAUGGAAUGAAUUUAUAUAAGAAGUAAUUUUAAAUCUAGUCAAAAAUAGAUUAGAAUUGGAAAGACUGUGUUCUGAUAUGGGAAAAAUAAUCUGAGAACAUACUAGCUAAGAAACCUAUAGAGUUUUUUUAAAAAACUCAUUUCAGUUCUUUGCAUUUUCUAUCAGGAUUGGUGGUCCUUAGCGCCAAAUUCUCUUCUUAAUAAAUAGCAUUUUAAUAAUAGCUAUUGCUAAGUUUCAAAUUUCCUGGUCUAGGGAGCUCAUGGAAUUAAUGGAUUUUUCCUACAUCUCAAACUUAAUGCUUAGAGCAACUUAAGCAUGGAGAAAAGUCGAAUAAUUAGAGAAUAACUAUUGAUUAUGGCCGUGGCAAUUCCAUGGUAUAUGAAAGGAAAUAUUAAUGUGAUUUAGGAGUCUGGAAAGUAUUAGCGAAAUCAAGAAAGAAACGUGGAGGAAUCACAAAGAUUUAAUUUAUUUGCAAGAUAAUUUUAGUUAAAUUAUAUUUGCCUUAAGAAUCUAAUGGAUCUAAUAGGGGUGUGUGUGUGGGGGUGCCUAUAAUUAAGAUACUAAUUUCUAUGUCUUUUAUGAAAACCAUUCUCUUUGGGUGAAUACAGGUCCCUUAUCCAAAUAAAAAUACCCUAAAACUAGUUUCUAGCUUCCUCCAAUUUCGUCAGAUCUAAGUACAUAAAGCAGAUGUGUGCCUUAUAAUAAAUCAUGUUACUGCAAUAUGCAGCUUGAAUCUAUUAGCUUAAAUUCUUGAUGGUUGAUUAGAAAUCAUACAUACCCUAUAUAAAAUUAGUAUUAGCUCAGCCCUUUUUAUACUGUUGUCAUUCUGACUUGACUCUAUUCUGCAAUUUCAUAAGCACAUGAUAAACAUUACCAAGCCUGUACCAAAAAACAAAGUAUUAGCGACUUUGCCAAAAAACUUGCUAACAUGGAAAACAGGGUGUGCCUCUUUAUAUCAUUGCAAUGAGAUUUUAUUAACCUAAAGACCACUGCCCAUAUAUCUGAAAUUCUAUAAUAUUUCUUUUACUUUAAGAAGUAUAUGAGAUUCAUUACUUUCAAAAAUGGUUGUUUAGUGUUAUAUUGUGGCUAUACACUG
Long non-coding RNA from Sus scrofa (pig), 2822 nucleotides. RefSeq lists it as uncharacterized. The record is from RefSeq and is a predicted model, not a curated record. Lineage: Eukaryota; Metazoa; Chordata; Mammalia; Artiodactyla; Suidae.